GUCCUAAAUUCCCUUAACAUGCAAGUCGAACGGCAGCACGGACUUCGGUCUGGUGGCGAGUGGCGAACGGGUGAGUAAUGUAUCGGAACGUGCCCAGUAGCGGGGGAUAACUACGCGAAAGCGUAGCUAAUACCGCAUACGCCCUACGGGGGAAAGCAGGGGAUCGCAAGACCUUGCACUAUUGGAGCGGCCGAUAUCGGAUUAGCUAGUUGGUGGGGUAACGGCUCACCAAGGCGACGAUCCGUAGCUGGUUUGAGAGGACGACCAGCCACACUGGGACUGAGACACGGCCCAGACUGCUACGGGAGGCAGCAGUGGGGAAUUUUGGACAAUGGGGGAAACCCUGAUCCAGCCAUCCCGCGUGUGCGAUGAAGGCCUUCGGGUUGUAAAGCACUUUUGGCAGGAAAGAAACGUCGCGGGUUAAUACCCCGCGAAACUGACGGUACCUGCAGAAUAAGCACCGGCUAACUACGUGCCAGCAGCCGCGGUAAUACGUAGGGUGCAAGCGUUAAUCGGAAUUACUGGGCGUAAAGCGUGCGCAGGCGGUUCGGAAAGAAAGAUGUGAAAUCCCAGAGCUUAACUUUGGAACUGCAUUUUUAACUACCGGGCUAGAGUGUGUCAGAGGGAGGUGGAAUUCCGCGUGUAGCAGUGAAAUGCGUAGAAAUGCGGAGGAACACCGAUGGCGAAGGCAGCCUCCUGGGAUAACACUGACGCUCAUGCACGAAAGCGUGGGGAGCAAACAGGAUUAGAUACCCUGGUAGUCCACGCCCUAAACGAUGUCAACUAGCUGUUGGGGCCUUCGGGCCUUGGUAGCGCAGCUAACGCGUGAAGUUGACCGCCUGGGGAGUACGGUCGCAAGAUUAAAACUCAAAGGAAUUGACGGGGACCCGCACAAGCGGUGGAUGAUGUGGAUUAAUUCGAUGCAACGCGAAAAACCUUACCUACCCUUGACAUG
Molecule: ribosomal RNA, 955 nt
Filed under: Achromobacter xylosoxidans
Lineage: Bacteria; Pseudomonadati; Pseudomonadota; Betaproteobacteria; Burkholderiales; Alcaligenaceae
Description: bacterial SSU rRNA
Rfam family: Bacterial small subunit ribosomal RNA
Source: RNAcentral